UGUAAAUAGCUUGUUAAAAAUGAUAUAGGUAAAAGGAGGAAAGAAAAAUAAUUUUAAAGAAAAAUUGUGUUAGUAAUUUUUAAUGAAAGUAGGAUAAAGACUAGAGAGAAAAGUACUGUGAAGGAAAGCAAUAAGACUUAGUAUAGGAAAAGUAAACUUUUGUGCCUUGUGUAUCAGAAAAAAUUUAUAUAAUUUAGUCAGUCUAAAGGUCUCGAAAUAAAAUAUAGUAAUUUUUAUAAAAUUUUCUUUUUAGAAAAAAAGAAUUUAAUGUAAAAUUUAAAGUGAAACGCUAGUUGAGUUUUAUUAUAUCUAGUUUUUUUAAAAAUAAAUUGAAUUUAUUUUUUAUAGCUAUAAGAUAUAAAAUUUAAUGGCAAGAGGGAACAGCUUCUUGUGUAAAAUGUUGUAAAAUAGUUAAGUAAUAGGAUAUUUUAUAGAUUAGGCUUAAAAGUAGCCAUAUUUAAAAAGUGUUUUAACUAAAUUAUGGUUUAAAAAUAUUUAGGGUAACUUUUUCAAUGUAUAAAAAAAUUAUUUGAAAUGUAAAAGAAUAAAAUAUAAUGAUUUUAUUAGUAAAAUUUGCUAUGAAAAUGAGUGU
This 592-nucleotide ribosomal RNA is filed under the name Macrophthalmus aff. japonicus. RNAcentral's name for it is "partial 16S ribosomal RNA". The record is from RNAcentral. Lineage: Eukaryota; Metazoa; Arthropoda; Malacostraca; Decapoda; Macrophthalmidae.